This 1645-nucleotide ribosomal RNA is filed under the name Flammispora bioteca. RNAcentral's name for it is "SSU rRNA". It matches the Rfam family "Eukaryotic small subunit ribosomal RNA". The record is from RNAcentral. Lineage: Eukaryota; Fungi; Ascomycota; Sordariomycetes.
AACUGCGAAUGGCUCAUUAUAUAAGUUAUCGUUUAUUUGAUAGCGCCUUACUACAUGGAUAACCGUGGUAAUUCUAGAGCUAAUACAUGCUAAAAACCCCGACUUCGGAAGGGGUGUAUUUAUUAGAUUAAAAGCCAACGCCCCUCGGGGCUCCUUGGUGAUUCAUGAUAACUCCUCAGAUCGCACGGCCUUGCGCCGGCGACGGUUCAUUCAAAUUUCUUCCCUAUCAACUUUCGACGGUAGGGUCUUGGCCUACCGUGGUUGCAACGGGUGACGGAGGGUUAGGGCUCGACUCCGGAGAGGGAGCCUGAGAAACGGCUACCACAUCCAAGGAAGGCAGCAGGCGCGCAAAUUACCCAAUCCCGAUUCGGGGAGGUAGUGACAAUAAAUAUCGAUACAGGGCUCUUUUGGGUCCUGUAAUUGAAAUGAGUACAAUUUAAAUCCCUUAACGAGGAUCAACUGGAGGGCAAGUCUGGUGCCAGCAGCCGCGGUAAUUCCAGCUCCAGUAGCGUAUAUUAAAGUUGUUGCGGGUUAAAAAGCUCGUAGUCGAACCUCGGGCCUGGCUGGCCGGUCCGCCUCACCGCGUGCACUGGUUCGGCCGGGCCCUUCCCUCUGCGGAACCUCAUGCCCUUCACUGGGCGUGUUGGCGAGGCAGGACUUUUACUUUGAAAAAAUUAGAGUGCUCAAGGCAGGCCUAUGCUCGAAUACUUCAGCAUGGAAUAAUAGAAUAGGACGUUGGUCUUAUUUUGUUGGUUUCUAGGACCGCCGUAAUGAUCAAUAGGGACGGUCGGGGGCGUCAGUAUUCAAUUGUCAGAGGUGAAAUUCUUGGAUCUAUUGAAGACUAACUACUGCGAAAGCAUUCGCCAAGGACGUUUUCGCUGAUCAGGAACGAAAGUUAGGGGAUCGAAGACGAUCAGAUACCGUCGUAGUCUUAACCAUAAACUAUGCCGACUAGGGAUCGGGCGAUGUUAUUUUUUGACUCGUUCGGCACCUUUCGAGAAAUCAAAGUUCUUGGGCUCCGGGGGGAGUAUGGUCGCAAGCUCAACACGGGGAAACUCACCAGGUCCAGACAUUGGAAGGAUUGACAGAUUGAGAGCUCUUUCUUGAUUCAAUGGGUGGUGGUGCAUGGCCGUUCUUAGUUGGUGGAGUGAUUUGUCAGCUUAAUUGCGAUAACGAACGAGACCAUCGCUGCUAAAUAGCCCGCGCCGCUUUGGCGGCACGCCGGCUUCUUAGCAGGACUAUCGGCUCAAGCCGAUGGAGGUCGUUGGCAAUAACAGGUCUGUGAUGCCCUUAGAUGUUCUGGGCCGCACGCGCGUUACACUGACGGAGCCAGCGAGUUCUUCCUUAGCUGAGAAGCUUGGGUAAUCUUGUGAAACUCUGUCGUGCUGGGGAUAGGGCCUUGCAAUUGUUGCCCUUCAACGAGGAAUCCCUAGUAAGCGCAAGUCAUCAACUUGCGUUGAUUACGUCCCUGCCCUUUGUACACACCGCCCGUCGCUACUACCGAUUGAAUGGCUCAGUGAGGCUUUCGGACUGGCCCAGGGAGGCGGGCAACUGCCACCCAGGGCCGGAAAGUUAUCCAAACUCGGUCAUUUAGAGGAAGUAAAAGUCGUAACAAGGUCUCCGUUGGUGAACCAGCGGAGGGAUC